RNAcentral lists this ribosomal RNA (538 nucleotides) under marine sediment bacterium ISA-3195. RNAcentral's name for it is "bacterial SSU rRNA". It matches the Rfam family "Bacterial small subunit ribosomal RNA", at positions 1 to 526 of the family's 1533-position model. The record is from RNAcentral.
UUAGAGUUUGAUCCUGGCUCCUGGAUGAACGCUGGCGGCGUGCCUAAUACAAUGCAGUCGAGCGAAUGAUGAGGAGCUUGCUCCUCUGAUUUAGCGGCGGACGGGUGAGUAACACGUGGGUAAUCUGCCUGUAAGACGGGGAUAACUCCGGGAAACCGGGGCUAAUACCGGAUAAUAAGAAGAAACGCAUGUUUCUUUUUUGAAAGUCGGUUUCGGGUGACACUUACAGAUGAGCCCGCGGCGCAUUAGCUAGUUGGUGAGGUAACGGCUCACCAAGGCGACGAUGCGUAGCCGACCUGAGAGGGUGAUCGGCCACACUGGGACUGAGACACGGCCCAGAGUCCUACGGGAGGCAGCAGUAGGGAAUCUUCGGCAAUGGGCGAAAGCCUGACCGAGCAACGCCGCGUGAGCGAUGAAGGCCUUCGGGUCGUAAAGCUCUGUUGUUAGAGAAGAACAAGUACGAGAGUAACUGCUCGUACCUUGACGGUACCUAACCAGAAAGCCACGGCUAACUACGUGCCAGCAGCCGCGGUAAUAC